AGCUUUAUAGUCAAUGUAUGAUAUUAGAUUGCAAUUCUAAUGUAGGAAUUAUCUCCUAAAGCUU
This 64-nucleotide transfer RNA is filed under the name Palomena viridissima. RNAcentral describes it as "tRNA-Cys". The record is from RNAcentral. Lineage: Eukaryota; Metazoa; Arthropoda; Insecta; Hemiptera; Pentatomidae.